UACGGGAGGCAGCAGUGGGGAAUAUUGCACAAUGGGCGCAAGCCUGAUGCAGCCAUGCCGCGUGUAUGAAGAAGGCCUUCGGGUUGUAAAGUACUUUCAGUCGUGAGGAAGGUGUUAAGGUUAAUAACCUUAGCAAUUGACGUUAGCGACAGAAGAAGCACCGGCUAACUCCGUGCCAGCAGCCGCGGUAAUACGGAGGGUGCGAGCGUUAAUCGGAAUUACUGGGCGUAAAGGGCACGCAGGCGGUUAAUUAAGUUGGAUGUGAAAUCCCCGGGCUUAACCUGGGAAUGGCAUUCAAGACUGGUUAGCUAGAGUCCUGUAGAGGGGGUAGAAUUCCGAUGUGUAGCGGUGAAAUGCGUAGAGAUGUGGAGGAAUACCGGGUGGCGAAGGCGGCCCCUGGGACAAAGACUGACGCUCAUGUGCGAAAGCGUGGGGAGCAAACAGGGAUUAGAUACC
RNAcentral lists this ribosomal RNA (456 nucleotides) under uncultured bacterium. RNAcentral describes it as "bacterial SSU rRNA". It matches the Rfam family "Bacterial small subunit ribosomal RNA", at positions 340 to 786 of the family's 1533-position model. The record is from RNAcentral.